AAAAAUGUAAAGCAUAUACUCGUAGUCUCCUUAUACGACUACGAGCAAGAAAACAAAAAUAAUACAGGAGUACUAGACCACUUGUCUAAGAAGAAGUUAAACUGAAAUUCAUUGUACAAGAAAAGGCAAAUAUUUGCCAAAUAUUUGUAUUAUAUAGUGGAACUAGGCCACAAUGAAAUGGCAUUAUACCGAGAAUUAAAAAAAAAAAAAAAUUGAAUUUGAUGAAAUGGCUUACUUUAAAGUUUCAUUAGAAAAAACAUAUAAUUGCAGGGUCUAUUGUUUUUCCUACCAAAUUAAAACCCACGUGUCUUCCAUUGAUUAGUUGCUAAUUUCAGAGAGAAAUAAUUAAUGUAGGUCCAUCAAAUUGCAUGUAUGUCUUAAUAUCUUUAUUAUCUGCUUUCCCUCCUAUGCUUUUUGCUACGUGCAUUUCGC
RNAcentral lists this long non-coding RNA (432 nucleotides) under Capsella rubella. RNAcentral's name for it is "long non-coding RNA (CRUB_LNC001980)". The record is from RNAcentral. Lineage: Eukaryota; Viridiplantae; Streptophyta; Magnoliopsida; Brassicales; Brassicaceae.